GCGUUUUCUGAAUCAAGUUCCACUCUUCUCAAAUCACUGGCUCUGGUUGUUAACAUAAAAUGAGCCAGAACACAAGAGGAAGCAGUGAUGGAGCUCCAGUCUGAGGCAGGAAGCCUGGGAUUUCCUGGAGUCACUGGGGCCACAGCCAUCAAAUCCUGCCGGCCUCCUCACCAAAGCAUAUUAUGAUUUAUCUGCUGUUCCAGUGACUUCCCUCCUGGGCCAGCAGUGUCACCUGCAUGUCACCCUGCCCACCUGCAGAGGCAGUCUUCUACAAGUCCUCAUCCUCCAUGGUCCACUACCAGCAGAGCUUGUUUGAAGGGGCAGAUGAUGUUGUUACCUGGCAGCCCCUGCAGCUGUCAUCCAUACAGCUCCCUUGAUGUACCAUCUGCUCCAGCUCUGGCUCAUUUUCAGGCAAGUUUCUUGUCUCUCCUUCCUAUUACAGGAACUUCCAGGGAUCACCUUUCACAGUCCUCUGUACCCCCAAAUCUGGGACAUCCCUGCUGGUCCUCUUUGCCUAAUAGCACUUCCUGGGUCAGAGACUUCACCAUGGCUCAGACCACUGCAAUAGCUGUCUUUUCGUGUCAUGGAACAACAGACAAGGUCCAUUCAGGAACAGAAUCUCAAAUCCCCAUUCCUGCCCUGUCCCCCUCCCUUCGUGCUAUGCCUCUAGUUACUCUAUACCCGCCCAGCAAGCUUUCAUUUCGUCUCCUACUGUGCCUUCUGCCUAGGGCACCAUCCACACUCAGAUCCCAUCCCCCA
Molecule: long non-coding RNA, 759 nt
Organism: Mastomys coucha (southern multimammate mouse)
Lineage: Eukaryota; Metazoa; Chordata; Mammalia; Rodentia; Muridae
Exons: 3
Source: RefSeq, a predicted model, not a curated record